UACAGAGGUGGCAAACGUUGUUCGGAAUUACUGGGCGUAAAGGGUGCGUAGGCGGGUCUUUAAGUCAGGGGUGAAAUCCGGGAGCUCAACUCCAGAACUGCCUUUGAUACUGAAGAUCUUGAGUUCGGGAGAGGUGAGUGGAACUGCGAGUGUAGAGGUGAAAUUCGUAGAUAUUCGCAAGAACACCAGUGGCGAAGGCGGCUCACUGGCCCGAUACUGACGCUGAGGCACGAAAGCGUGGGGAACAAACAGG
Molecule: ribosomal RNA, 253 nt
Filed under: uncultured bacterium
Lineage: Bacteria
Description: partial 16S ribosomal RNA
Rfam family: Bacterial small subunit ribosomal RNA
Source: RNAcentral